Molecule: unclassified non-coding RNA, 240 nt
Filed under: soil metagenome
Description: partial contains 5.8S ribosomal RNA, internal transcribed spacer 2, and large subunit ribosomal RNA
Source: RNAcentral
AACCUUAUGGACCUGCGGGCGUAUACCUGCGGAGGGAUCAUUACAGAGUUGCAAAACUCCCUAAACCAUUGUGAACGUUACCUAAACCGUUGCUUCGGCGGGCGGCCCGGGUCCUUCCCGGCGCCCCUCGGCCCUCGCGGGCGCCCGCCGGAGGUAAACCAAACUAUUGCAUUGUAUGGCCUCUCUGAGUCUUCUGUACUGAAUAAGUCAAAACUUUCAACAAUGGAUCUCAGAUCGGAA